Molecule: ribosomal RNA, 250 nt
Filed under: uncultured bacterium
Lineage: Bacteria
Description: partial 16S ribosomal RNA
Rfam family: Bacterial small subunit ribosomal RNA
Source: RNAcentral
UACGGAGGGGGCCAGCGUUGUUCGGAAUCAUUGGGCGUAAAGGGCGCGUAGGCGGCUUCUCAAGUCGAACGUGAAAUCCCCCGGCUCAACCGGGGACCUGCGUCCGAUACUGUGAAGCUUGAGUCCCGGAGAGGGUAGUGGAAUUCCCAGUGUAGCGGUGAAAUGCGUAGAUACUGGGAGGAACACCGGUGGCGAAGGCGGCUACCUGGACGGGUACUGACGCUGAGGCGCGAGAGCUAGGGGAGCAAAC